This 301-nucleotide ribosomal RNA is filed under the name uncultured bacterium. RNAcentral's name for it is "partial 16S ribosomal RNA". It matches the Rfam family "Bacterial small subunit ribosomal RNA", at positions 509 to 807 of the family's 1533-position model. The record is from RNAcentral.
CAGCCGCCGCGGGAAUACGAAGGGGGCUAGCGUUGUUCGGAAUUACUGGGCGUAAAGCGCUCGUAGGCGGAUAUUUAAGUCAGGGGUGAAAUCCCAGAGCUCAACUCUGGAACUGCCUUUGAUACUGGGUAUCUUGAGUAUGGAAGAGGUGAGUGGAAUUCCGAGUGUAGAGGUGAAAUUCGUAGAUAUUCGGAGGAACACCAGUGGCGAAGGCGGCUCACUGGUCCAUUACUGACGCUGAGGUGCGAAAGCGUGGGGAGCAAACAGGAUUAGAUACCCGAGUAGUCCCUGUCUCUUAUAC